Halichondria panicea is the source of this 2734-nucleotide long non-coding RNA. RefSeq lists it as uncharacterized. The transcript is spliced from 7 exons. NCBI's taxonomy places the organism in Eukaryota, Metazoa, Porifera, Demospongiae, Suberitida, Halichondriidae. The record is from RefSeq and is a predicted model, not a curated record.
GGUAUUUUGCACAUACGGCUGCCCUAUACUGUUAUCCUCAGUGACUAAGGAAGAGAAUUUGUCAAUAAAGUUACUGAGGCACUCUUUAAAAGAACAAACACACAGCAUAGAAUCACUUCCGCCUAUCAUCCUCAAACUAAUGGCCUCACAGAGCGAUUCAAUCAGACAAUCUGUCGUUCUCUCAGCAAGUUAGUGAAUGAAGCACACAAUGAUUGGGAUACAAAGCUAGAAACUAUUCUGUUUGCAUACCGAGUGUCGAAACACCGAUCAACCGCAGUGGCGGAUCCAGAGGUAGUUCGUUGGGUUCGUACGAACUACCCUUCCACUAAGUUGAUACUUUAUAUUUAAUACACCUGGCUAGCUAGCUAGCUAGCUAGCUUACUAUACUGUCAUGACAAUAGGGUACAAAGUUCUCUCUGCAUAAUGUGAGGGUGGGGCUGGUACUCUCUGCAUAAUAUGAGGGUGGGGCUGGCUAUAUUGACUCAUCCAGCCACAUGGUCCCAGUGAUAAUUGAGCCUGGCCAUGAAUCCUAACAAAAGGCUAGAUUGCAACCCUCCAUUGACUCCUGGAGUAAAGUUUCAGAUGAUGCGUCAAGUCUACAGCCAGUCUCCUCUUCAAGAGAACCACCAGCCACCAUCGUCACUCCUCCAGUCAUCAACGUCUCUCCAGUCACAACCAUCUUUCCUCCAGUCACAACUAUCUCUCCACUGGAACCACCAGCCACCUCCAUCACCCCUCCGUGUUCAUCGAAGCAAGCAACGAGAUCUUCCGCUGAGGAUCAGCCAAUGGACAUUGGUGCUCUCCUGAAAGAGAAGAAAGUGCAAUCACUAUCCCAGAGCAUGAGAAUGGCUUUGCCUUGUGUUCUUUCAGAUAUUAUAGUUGAAGGGGAAUUUGGUUAAUUAAUGGGCGUGGCAUGUAAAAGGGGGCGUGGUCAACCCAAAAAUUUCGGCGCUUCGCGCGGCCAAGAAGUAAGAACCCCCCUUCCUUAAAUCCUGGAUCUGCCCCUGAACCGGCUAUUCGCCAUUCUUCAUGAUGUUUCAUCGUGAAGCUCGGCUGCCUAUAGAAGCAGAUGUAGAGCAAAACGAAACAGUGACCAGUGAAGAUAUAGAUACAGAGACAACUGCAGAUGCUUUUAUUGAGAAAAUGCUCAAGAGGCAAGAAGAUAUAAAGAGCAUAGCUGGUGAAAACAUAAAAAAAUCUCAAAAAAAGCAAAAGGAGUGCUAUGAUAAACGGCAUUCACCAGAGGAACUGCAACCUGGAAUCAAGGUUUUGGUUGAGAACACCCAACAAAAGGAGAGGAAAGGUGGAAAGCUCGAAAACAAGUAUAGUGGACCAUACAUUAUUAAGACCUCAGAUGGAAAGGGUGUCUAUACCCUUAAGGACUUGGAUGGGAAGGUGUUAAAAAAGAAAUGUAAUAUCAAACGUCUCAAGCUCUCAGUGGCCAAACUCCACCGGAUAAAUCCAAUGGCUCUACCCCACCAGAGAAAUCCAAUGGCCCUACCCCACCAGAGAAAUCCAAUGGCCCCACCUCACCAGAAGAUCCAAAUGGCCCCACCCCACCGAAGAAAUCCAAUGGCCCCACCCCACCAGAAGAUCCAAAUGGCCCCACCCCACCGGAGAAAUCCAAUGGCCCCACCCCACCAGAAGAUUCAAAUGGCCCCACCCCACCGGAGAAAUCCGAUGGUCCCACCCCACCAGAAUAUAUGGACAUGGACCUGUGGUGACUCAUUUGCAACCAAUUGAUGAUGUCCCCUUAGAUCGUCCACCACCACCUAAGAGACGAAAGUCUAAUCAGUCUGUACCUAAGAGUCAAAAGAACCAGGUAUGCUGGGAGUCUCUGGAUACCUGACUUAGAUCUACGUUACAGGGAUAGGGCAGUUGUAAAGAGAGGAAAACUAUGUGACAAGCAUAUGUAUGCUGCCCAUGAAGUGCUGAGGUAUCAGUUCCCUCAUCUGCAUGGUCUUCAAUCGACAUUACUUACUCAAAAAGAGUUUAAAGCAAUGCAAUGUCAUGACUCUGUUGUAAGAGCCGUUCAGAUACUAUUUGUUGAGGAAAGAGAGCACUGGGUUGUUUCCAGCCUCACCAAUGGAAAACUGAGACUAUACGACAGCUGUUCAACUGGAGAAUUAACCUCAAGUCUUCAAGUACAGCUAGCUCAAAUAUACGGCAAUCAAUUUGCGGUAAACAACAAACUCAAAGUUUACAUUGAGCCUGUACAGAAGCAAGAAGGAGAAAUGGACUGUGGUGUUUUCAGCAUUGCAAAUGCAUACAAUGCUGCACAGGCGAAGAGUACGAAAGAUGUAACGUAUGACUCACAACAAAUGCGUUCACACAUUCAGCACUGUUUUGAAGCUAAAACGUUCAGCACUUUUCCUCAAUCUAAAAAUUCGGCAGCAAUCAACAGAUGUGAUCCCAAACAGAUAAUCAUCGAGCUGUACUGCACUUGUGGUCUUCCAGAGACAUAUGAUAGCCGAAUGAUCGAGUGUACAAAAUGCCAAAAGUGGUUUCACUUUAAAUGCAUGAACAUCAAGGUCAGGCCAAGAGGAUGGCUGUGUAUAACAUGUAGAUCUAAUUCAUGUUAACUGUAUCACCAAAUGUUAAAUUGUUAUUAAAUAGCUAGCUAGCAAGCUAUAUUAUAGACAUUGAAUAUUAUUGUUUUGCCAUUAUUAUACGUAGACCAUUACUUGUUUUUGCCAUUGAUUCUCGACUCAACCUCCAUUACUUCUAAUACGUA